UACGAAGGGUGCAAACGUUGCUCGGAAUUAUUGGGCGUAAAGCGCACGUAGGCGGCUUAGCAAGUCGGAUGUGAAAGCCCCCGGCUCAACUGGGGAGGGUCACGCGAUACUGAUCGACUCGAAGGCAGGAGAGGGUAGUGGAAUUCCCGGUGUAGUGGUGAAAUGCGUAGAUAUCGGGAGGAACACCAGUGGCGAAGGCGACUACCUGGCCUGUUCUUGACGCUGAGGCGCGAAAGCUAGGGGAGCAAACGGG
This 253-nucleotide ribosomal RNA is filed under the name uncultured bacterium. RNAcentral describes it as "partial 16S ribosomal RNA". It matches the Rfam family "Bacterial small subunit ribosomal RNA", at positions 524 to 776 of the family's 1533-position model. The record is from RNAcentral.